RNAcentral lists this unclassified non-coding RNA (253 nucleotides) under uncultured Parcubacteria group bacterium. Its description in RNAcentral is "contains 16S-23S intergenic spacer region". It matches the Rfam family "Bacterial small subunit ribosomal RNA", at positions 524 to 776 of the family's 1533-position model. The record is from RNAcentral.
UACGUGAGCCCCAAGCGUUAUCCGGAAUCAUUGGGCGUAAAGGGUCCGUAGGGGGCUGUAUUAGUCUCGUGUUAAAGCCAGAGGCUCAACCUCUGAUUCGCGCGGGAAACGGUACAGCUAGAGGGCGUGAGAGGCUGGUGGAACUCAUGGUGUAGGAGUGAAAUCCGUUGAUAUCAUGGGGAACACCGAAGGCGAAGGCAACCAGCUGGCGCGACCCUGACCCUGAGGGACGAAAGCGUGGGUAGCGAACGGG